UACAGAAGGGGCAAGCGUUGUUCGGAAUUACUGGGCGUAAAGGGCGCGCAGGCGGCCGCCUAAGUCAGACGUGAAAUCCCUCGGCUCAACCGGGGAACUGCGUCUGAUACUGGGUGGCUUGAAUUCGGGAGAGGGAUGCGGAAUUCCAGGUGUAGCGGUGAAAUGCGUAGAUAUCUGGAGGAACACCGGUGGCGAAGGCGGCAUCCUGGACCGAGAUUGACGCUGAGGCGCGAAAGCCAGGGGAGCAAACGGG
RNAcentral lists this ribosomal RNA (253 nucleotides) under uncultured bacterium. Its description in RNAcentral is "partial 16S ribosomal RNA". It matches the Rfam family "Bacterial small subunit ribosomal RNA", at positions 524 to 776 of the family's 1533-position model. The record is from RNAcentral.